ACAAUGAGAUUCCUCGACUUC
RNAcentral lists this microRNA (21 nucleotides) under Marchantia polymorpha subsp. ruderalis. Lineage: Eukaryota; Viridiplantae; Streptophyta; Marchantiopsida; Marchantiales; Marchantiaceae. The record is from RNAcentral.